RNAcentral lists this long non-coding RNA (679 nucleotides) under Dermacentor andersoni. Its description in RNAcentral is "uncharacterized LOC126543837". Lineage: Eukaryota; Metazoa; Arthropoda; Arachnida; Ixodida; Ixodidae. The record is from RNAcentral.
GCGACCGAUGACGAUCGCUUUCGCACUCGCCCUAAAAUGCUUUUCCUUAGCUGCUUCGCUCCAAGGGACGCCCGCGUCCGUAACAGGAAACCACACGUCGCCGGUAAUGUUUAUGCUCGCGGUCGCGUCUGGCGUCCGUGCUCGGCGUCCCAGCGUGCAGUGCGCAUUACGCGCCGCCCCCACCGACAGGAAACAAGGAGACGAAAAGUUGCGAGACCGGUUUGCAAGUCCAGUUCACCGGACCGGACUGCGGAGAAAAGGCACAAGAGCGCCACAAGGACUGAUGAACGACGCCCAGGAAUCUACCAACUACGAACCAAGGGUUCGACACCCCUGAGGGAAAUUCUGCUUCUGAAAAGCUGAUUCCUCUCUCAGUGGAUCCUGGUCCCUACGCGUCGGGAUCUUCCUCUCCCGAUGGAGAUGCUGUUACGCUUGGCGUGUAACACCCCGGGCAAAUAGGAUGCUCCACCACCAUGCCUCAUCGAAACGAAGGGUGGAUUCCUAAUUUGCUGUGGUUGACUCGAUGGAUGCCGGUCUAGCUGACGCUCGCAGUGUUCACAGGCCCCUUUGUGUGUGUGCGUGAAAACCCUUUCCGCGAACCAGCGACGCGCGAAAAAGAAGGGAUCAGCUGCCUACGAUCACCAGGACCCGCGAGUUGCCACCAGCAGAGGCAAGCUCG